UUGAAGAGUUUGAUCAUGGCUCAGAUUGAACGCUGGCGGCAGGCCUAACACAUGCAAGUCGAGCGGUAGCACAGAGAGCUUGCUCUCGGGUGACGAGCGGCGGACGGGUGAGUAAUGUCUGGGAAACUGCCUGAUGGAGGGGGAUAACUACUGGAAACGGUAGCUAAUACCGCAUAAUGUCGCAAGACCAAAGUGGGGGACCUUCGGGCCUCAUGCCAUCAGAUGUGCCCAGAUGGGAUUAGCUUGUAGGUGGGGUAACGGCUCACCUAGGCGACGAUCCCUAGCUGGUCUGAGAGGAUGACCAGCCACACUGGAACUGAGACACGGUCCAGACUCCUACGGGAGGCAGCAGUGGGGAAUAUUGCACAAUGGGCGCAAGCCUGAUGCAGCCAUGCCGCGUGUGUGAAGAAGGCCUUCGGGUUGUAAAGCACUUUCAGCGGGGAGGCGGUGAGGUUAAUAACCUCAUCGAUUGACGUUACCCGCAGAAGAAGCACCGGCUAACUCCGUGCCAGCAGCCGCGGUAAUACGGAGGGUGCAAGCGUUAAUCGGAAUUACUGGGCGUAAAGCGCACGCAGGCGGUCUGUCAAGUCGGAUGUGAAAUCCCCGGGCUCAACCGGGAACUGCAUUCGAAACUGGCAGGCUAGAGUCUUGUAGAGGGGGGUAGAAUUCCAGGUGUAGCGGUGAAAUGCGUAGAGAUCUGGAGGAAUACCGGUGGCGAAGGCGGCCCCCUGGACAAAGACUGACGCUCAGGUGCGAAAGCGUGGGGAGCAAACAGGAUUAGAUACCCUGGUAGUCCACGCCGUAAACGAUGUCGAUUUGGAGGUUGUGCCCUUGAGGCGUGGCUUCCGGAGCUAACGCGUUAAAUCGACCGCCUGGGGAGUACGGCCGCAAGGUUAAAACUCAAAUGAAUUGACGGGGGCCCGCACAAGCGGUGGAGCAUGUGGUUUAAUUCGAUGCAACGCGAAGAACCUUACCUGGUCUUGACAUCCACAGAACUUUCCAGAGAUGGAUUGGUGCCUUCGGGAACUGUGAGACAGGUGCUGCAUGGCUGUCGUCAGCUCGUGUUGUGAAAUGUUGGGUUAAGUCCCGCAACGAGCGCAACCCUUAUCCUUUGUUGCCAGCGGUCCGGCCGGGAACUCAAAGGAGACUGCCAGUGAUAAACUGGAGGAAGGUGGGGAUGACGUCAAGUCAUCAUGGCCCGACGAGGGCUACACGUGCUACAAUGGCAUAUACAAAGAGAAGCGACCUCGCGAGAGCAAGCGGACCUCAUAAAGUAUGUCGUAGUCCGGAUUGAGUCUGCAACUCGACUCCAUGAAGUCGGAAUCGCUAGUAAUCGUAGAUCAGAAUGCUACGGUGAAUACGUUCCCGGGCCUUGUACACACCGCCCGUCACACCAUGGGAGUGGGUUGCAAAAGAAGUAGGUAGCUUAACCUUCGGGAGGGCGCUUACCACUUUGUGAUUCAUGACUGGGGUGAAGUCGUAACAAGGUAACCGUAGGGGAACCUGCGGUUGGAUCACCUCCUU
Molecule: ribosomal RNA, 1524 nt
Filed under: Klebsiella pneumoniae
Lineage: Bacteria; Pseudomonadati; Pseudomonadota; Gammaproteobacteria; Enterobacterales; Enterobacteriaceae
Description: bacterial SSU rRNA
Rfam family: Bacterial small subunit ribosomal RNA
Source: RNAcentral